GAUGAACGCUGGCGGCGUGCCUAAUACAUGCAAGUCGAGCGAACAGACGAGGAGCUUGCUCCUUUGACGUUAGCGGCGGACGGGUGAGUAACACGUGGGUAACCUACCUAUAAGACUGGGAUAACUUCGGGAAACCGGAGCUAAUACCGGAUAAUAUUUCGAACCGCAUGGUUCGAUAGUGAAAGAUGGCUUUGCUAUCACUUAUAGAUGGACCUGCGCCGUAUUGGCUAGUUGGUAAGGUAACGGCUUACCAAGGCAACGAUACGUAGCCGACCUGAGAGGGUGAUCGGCCACACUGGAACUGAGACACGGUCCAGACUCCUACGGGAGGCAGCAGUAGGGAAUCUUCCGCAAUGGGCGAAAGCCUGACGGAGCAACGCCGCGUGAGUGAUGAAGGUCUUCGGAUCGUAAAACUCUGUUAUUAGGGAAGAACAAACGUGUAAGUAACUGUGCACGUCUUGACGGUACCUAAUCAGAAAGCCACGGCUAACUACGUG
Molecule: ribosomal RNA, 497 nt
Filed under: uncultured bacterium
Lineage: Bacteria
Description: partial 16S ribosomal RNA
Rfam family: Bacterial small subunit ribosomal RNA
Source: RNAcentral